RNAcentral lists this ribosomal RNA (253 nucleotides) under uncultured bacterium. Its description in RNAcentral is "partial 16S ribosomal RNA". It matches the Rfam family "Bacterial small subunit ribosomal RNA", at positions 524 to 776 of the family's 1533-position model. The record is from RNAcentral.
UACGUAGGGGGCUAGCGUUGUCCGGAAUCAUUGGGCGUAAAGAGCGUGUAGGCGGCCCGGUAAGUCCGCUGUGAAAGUCCAGGGCUCAACCCUGGGAUGCCGGUGGAUACUGUCGGGCUCGAGUCCGGAAGAGGCGAGUGGAAUUCCUGGUGUAGCGGUGAAAUGCGCAGAUAUCAGGAGGAACACCGGUGGCGAAGGCGGGUCUCUGGGCCGAUACUGACGCUGAGGAGCGAAAGCGUGGGGAGCGAACAGG